UACCACCAGUAUCUCCCCACUAAACCAAACGCUAGCCCACAUUUUAGUUUUAAAUUCAGAUUCUAAACCAUCUUGUGUCCGGAUCUAAAUACCACUUCUUUGUUUUAACUUUAGCCCGUAAUGUAACCUACUAAUGCAAAAAAUACUCCCCAAACCUUCCAACCUCCUCUUUUGGCAUGCCAAAAUUGAUACUGUUCUUGAAGUAGUAAGACCUGGCUAGUUACAUCAUCACAGUGAAGCAGAGCUUCUCCAGCCGUGCCUUAUGACCACCCUGACAAUCAUAAAGUAUGAUUAAAUGCAACGAUUGAAGACAACAGCUUAGCUGAAGAGUGAAAAGCAAUGGUAGUUUAUAGCUUUAAACAUUACGGAUGUUUGCAGUAGACGGGGAUCUGUAAAUUGCUUUUAAUUUUUUGCUGGUGAAGCCUGUUGAAAAAUAUUCUGGUGCUGAAACAUAGUGAUGCCUUGUUUGUGUAGGUAAAUUUUACCUCCUAUUUACCCUCUACUCCAAAACUGUAAAGCUAGUUGUCAUUUGUCAACUCAACUACUGUGUUGAUUUGAGAAUGGUCUUUUGCACACACUGGGGAAAAAAACCCACCUAAAACACUUAGAUUGUAAGCUAAACUUGUGCCAGCACCUGUUUAAUGGCAGCAAUUCCUAGAGUAUUGCUUAUAGCUUGGGCAAAUUUUACUCAUUCCCUAUUAGUAUGUCUUUAGGUAGUAUUUCUUAGGAAAGACUUAAAGCCAGUUGAGCUAUUUCUGAGAGUCAUACCACAAAAUAACUUGUUUUUGUUAAUAUCACAAAAUUUCCUCUUGCUCUUCGAAUCUUCUUCAGAGUUUGCAGAAUCUGGAUAGCAAGCAUAAUGGCUAGAGGGGUUUCUAUUCUCUCUGCUUCUAGGAAGCCCUGGAAAUCUGGCUUUUUUGCCUUUUUGACAUGCUCCUCUGAGUUUGUUGUGAGACUGAUGACAAAAGUUAUAAAUGGUGCUGGUGCUGGAUAGGCCUGCUUCCACUGACUGCGGCCUACCACGCUUCGCUGAAUCCUGCCUUGCGUCUCCCACAUCCACGGGGACUGUUGUUCCAGGCUGUGGGUGUUGUUCCAGGCUGUGGGUGUUGUUCCAGGCUGUGGGUGUUCCUCCCAAUGGCUCUGCGCUGGAGUUGCAGUAAUCCAUAGCAGAAAUGUCCCUUUGGUUCCUAUUGCUUUCAGUGGUCUUGGAGCACUCUCUGUGGCAGCUGAGACAUUAUGAAAGAGAAGGAAGAGUCUGCUUUCUCAAAUACAGAGAAUUAAGACUGCAAGAGUGGCAGAAAAGAUGAAAGGGGUAUAGUUUAAUACAUGAGUGCAGAAAUACGCCUACCGACAUGGUCCACUUAUGUUGAAGUUCAUUUUGAAAUGUUCUGAAGUUACAAAGCAUACUAGGAACGAUGGCUUGUUUUAUUACCUUGUCUUCUUCAGGUGAAUCUUUUCUGAGGCAGUAGGAGAUGCUAUACAUGACCGUGGGGUAGUGGAACAUGUCAAAAUAGCUGGCUUUGCCUCAGGUCACGUAUGGUUAGCCUGGCAUACACAAAAACAUUGGAGCAGGUCCGGAGAAGGGUCUGGAUGGGAACCGUUAGGGCACAGCCUGGACCAGUGAUUGAGCACCUGGUGAAGAGGCCCUGGGAGCACAGGCGUGAGCAAUUCCACUCCUCCCUAACCUCUUUUAAGGGCUGGUAACCAAGGGGGAAACAUCUCUAUCCAGGGAUUGCUUCCUUCUGGGAGCUUUCAGCAAGCCCUUGCCUUUGAGAUAGGAUCAGGUGUAAGGAAGAAAUCCUUCACUACAAGGGCGGUGAGGCAGCGGCACAGGCUGCCCCGGGAAGCUGUGGACGUCCCAUCAGUGGAAGCCAUUCCAUGGUUCUGUGAGUUGAAGAUGAAACAGUGAUUUAGGUCUGCGUGUUUUACUCAGCAAAAAUUCAAACACUCAGCAAAGUUUUCAGUUACUUCAUCUUGGGGGGAAGAAAUACUGUUGCUGAUGACCGCCGAGCUCUGAUGAGCUGAGUUGAUUGUAUCUCUAAUUGGUUGGUGUGCUGCGUUCCCCUCCUUCAAAUGCAAACCUCACACAGGUAGAAGAGGAUUUGAAAUUACAGAUGUGGGAAUAAGAGGGAAUGUUAUGAGUUUAGUUAUGUAGCCUAGUGCCCAGGGUACUUACUGGAAGGAGGAAACCAUAAGCCGUACUUCCUGCCUUACUGAAUUCUUCUGUCUUCCAAUAAAUUAACUGGAAAAAUACAAAGCUCUUCCAAGAUCCACUUCCCAGGACUCUGAGCCUCCCUUCUGUGUUUCAAAGCUGUACAAGCAGUUUCCUGAUUUGCAUCAUGACUGAAGCCUCUAGUCUGAAAGAGCUAUUGGAACGGCAGCGGUGGAUUUACCUAGCCAACAAACUGAGCUGUCUCAAGCACAAUUAAUUAUGUCCUAGAUGUGUUAUUGUUGUUUUGAUAGACUCAUUCAAAACUUCUAGAGACAUCCAAAGAUCUUAAUCCUUUUAUUCCACGUAAAUUGAUAGAUUCUAUCUAGUCACAGUGCUCUGACUUUCAUUAAUUAAAACUUCUCACUGAAUUUAGUGAGCCACGAAUACUGGAUUCUGUUUUGCUCUGGUGCUAUUCACCGUGUCUGUUCUACUAGAUGCCUGAAAGUGCAAAUAGAUACCUCAGAAGGUUGUGAACCACAGGAAGAAAAUGAAGUAUUUGUUUCUGAGCUUUUGUGGUUGGGUUCUGUCAAGAUUGAACGCGAGUUGUUUGCUAUUUUAUGCUCAACAAAAAUAAACACCGUCAAAAAAAUAAAGAGCUAUAAAUAUGCUGUAACAGACAGUUAGCAAGCAUACAGCUGUCAAAGGCAGAUUUGAUAACCUGGAAUGAAUAGAUUCUGAAUGAAUCUUGCAGUGAAAUAAAAUGUAAAAGGUCACAUCAUGUUUCAGUAACUCACUAUUAACCCCUGAUGUAAGCAGAACCUCUGUGUUUAUACUGCACUGUCUUUUAUUGUUACUUCUGAAAUGCCAUGGUAGCUGCAGUCAUUUAGGCCUGAUGAUUUUUGUUCACUAAGUCUAGUUCUAAUGAUGAAGAAGUAUCAAUGCAGACAAUUCAGUGCUCUGUGCUCAAGGUGAUACUUGGCACAAGGGCAGGAAAAACUGCACAGCUUUCCUUCCUGCAGUCAGCAGAGCUACAAGCACUGGGUUACAGUCAUUUUGAUCAUAAACCAUCUCGGGAGUGGGGAGGCAACUCCUGGUGUUUCAUAUGAGGUCUUGUCUUCCUACAGUAUAGAACUGAUAUUAAAAAAAAAAAAAAAGUAAAAGGAAUUUUUUUUUCAAUAAAAUAGUACUAGAAGAGAAUUCUCUGCCGGGUCUCUUGCAAAGAUUAUUUCUUGCACUGUGGUAGCACUGUGACCACAUUCUCAUUUUACCAGAUAUUGCUCAAAUACCAGGAGACAGACAGCAAAGAUGAAAAGAAAACAAAGUCUGUAUAUUCAAGGGAUCUGGAAAGGUCAUUGAUAGAUGCUUUUGUUCUGGUUACUCUUCUGAAUU
Long non-coding RNA from Numida meleagris (helmeted guineafowl), 3541 nucleotides. RefSeq lists it as uncharacterized. The transcript has 5 exons. Lineage: Eukaryota; Metazoa; Chordata; Aves; Galliformes; Numididae. The record is from RefSeq and is a predicted model, not a curated record.